CUGGUAGUUCAGUUGGUUAGAACGCUAGCCUGUCACGCUAGAGGUCGUGGGUUCGAACCCCAUC
RNAcentral lists this transfer RNA (64 nucleotides) under human gut metagenome. It matches the Rfam family "tRNA", at positions 7 to 64 of the family's 71-position model. From Rfam's summary of the family: Transfer RNA (tRNA) molecules are approximately 80 nucleotides in length. The record is from RNAcentral.